Molecule: long non-coding RNA, 6133 nt
Filed under: Brassica napus (rape)
Lineage: Eukaryota; Viridiplantae; Streptophyta; Magnoliopsida; Brassicales; Brassicaceae
Description: long non-coding RNA (BNAP_LNC019636)
Source: RNAcentral
ACUUGACCUCGGUGAACCAAAGUUACUUAGGUAACUUUGUGUGUUGAGAAGAAGCCUUGCUUAUCCUUAUCUGAUCAGACUGUUUCAAAAGGAAGAAGGGAGCGCACAUGACAGCCUGUCCACGGUUGGCAUAAAGCAAAAGGAACCUUAUCCUUAAGGAGGAAGCUUAUUGGAUCAUUUAAAUUAAAGCAAAAGCUUAUCCCUUGUAAUAAUGUAGUUUCCUAAACCCUAGUCUCUAAUGUCGCCUCUCUAUAUAUUGUAAACUCAUGUCAUUAAUCAAAGUAAGCAAGUUAUGAGUCUCUCUUAGUCUUUAUUCUCUCAAUGGUUUCAUACUAGACUCCUAAUCUCAUUUCAUACUCAAAUCUCUUCUAAAUCACUUCUAGUCUUUCUUAUUUACUCAGAUUACUCUACUCAAUCCUAAAAUUGAUAUGGUAUCAGAGCCAGGUUCAUAGGGAACUUGGUUUCGUUGGGUUCUUUGAAGAUUCAAGAUUGAAGCUUUGAAGAAACAGUUUGGUGUUCUUGUGUUCUAAGCGGUUCUGGGUAGUCUUUCUGAGUUCUAUUGGUUGUGUGAGGCGUUCUUGAAGCUGUGUGGGUAAAAGGUGAAGCUGCUAGUGUUCACUCAAGACAGUUACCUCAAGAGAAAGUUAUUGAAGUCUAAAGGGUUCUACAUUCAACAUGGAGAGUGGGAUGAACAUGAACAUGAAGGUGGCGGUUUGUUUCAAGGGAAACAACUACUUGGUGUGGUCUCGGAUGGUGAGAACCACAGUGGGAAGCAAGGGGCUUUGGAAGCACGUCACGCCAGGAGAAGCUCCAAAGCUCAUCACUCAAGGAGAGGCUGAAGAUGAAGCGGCAAGCAAGGCAGAAGAGAAGUGGCAUCAAGAGGACAUGUUGGUGAUGUCUGUGCUUCAUGCGUCCCUUGAGCCGGCUAUUCUGGAUGCAUACAGCUACUGUGAGUCUGCUAAAGAGCUGUGGGAUACCUUGAAGAAGGUGUAUGGCAACACUUCAAACCUAAGCCGAGUGUUUGAAGUGAAGCAGGCUAUCAACAACCUUGUACAAGAAGACAUGUAGUUCACUAAGCAUCUAGGAAGAUUCAGAAGCCUCUGGUCCGAGAUGGAGUUGCUUAGGCCAAGCACAACGGAUGCUGAUGAGCUUAACAAGAGGAGAGAGCAAGAUAAGGUCUUUGGGCUACUCCUCACCCUAAACCCGGCGUACAACGGUCUCAUCCAGCACCUACUUAGGGAGGAUACUCUACCUGACCUUGAGGAUGUGUGUGCGCGGAUUCAGAAGGAGCAAGGCUCCAUUGGGCUGUUUGGGAAGAAUGGAGACCUUUCCCUUGUAAGUCAAGCAACUCAAGAGGAGGGGAGUGAAGCUCCACAAGCAAACAAGGCUGCACAUGGGAAGUUUGAGGAGAGGAGGUUCAAUGGGAGUUGUGAUCACUGCAAGAAGCAUGGCCACAAGAAGAGCCAAUGCUGGAUACUCCACCCUCAUCUCAAGCCGGCUAAGUUCAUGAAGGAUCGUGAGGCAAAGGCUAAUGUCUCAGAUGGUACAAGUAGAGCUGGUACAAGCAAAGGAAAGGAGAUAGAAGGGCGUGAGGCAGGUGAUGGAAAGUCUCUUGUAGCCUACACUGGAGCACCAAGCAACCGUGGGAACAAUGAUCAAGAGUAUCUAAGGAGAUCCGACCUUGAUGCUCUCAUUAAGAUGUUCAAGGAGAAUGGUAACACCUUUGGGUAUUCUUUUGGUGCUAGGGUGGUAGAGAACUAUGAGAAUCUAACUAGAACUGAUAGGAUGCAUGAGAGCGUGAUAGAAAUGGUAAAUCAAUCUAGGAUUGCAAACUUUGCUAGAAAUGAUCAUGCAUUCAAACCAUCUAGUAUCCUUGCGCAUAUUGCUAGUUCUCAUGACAUUAAGCCAUUAGUGAUUGAUUCAGGUGCAUCUCAUCAUAUGAUAAGUGACACUAACUUGAUUAAAAACAUUGUACCAAUGAAUGGAAAUGUAAUGAUUGCUAAUGGAGAUAAGAUUCCUAUUAGAGGAAUAGGAAGUCUUAAACUGUUUGAUAAGGAAAGUAAAGCUUUUUAUAUGCCUGAAUUUACAUCAAACUUGUUAUCUGUUAAGAAGUGUGCUACUGAUUUGCAAUGCAAUGUUAUUUUCAGUCCUAAUGAUGUGAAGUUUCAGGAUAUUAAAAGCAGCAAGAUGAUUGGAAAGGGAGUGACUAAAGGAGAGCUAUAUUUACUUGAAGAUCUCACUCCUGUUUCUAGAUAUAGCUGCUCGUUUACUUCUGUUUCUGGUUCUAGUUUAAGUAAAAAUGCAUUGUGACAUGCUAGAUUAGGACACCCUCAUAAUAAGGCUUUAAAACUGAUGUUGCCAGGUGUUUCCUUUGAGAAUAAUGAGUGUGAAGCUUGCAUUUUAGGCAAGCAUUGUAGAACUGUCUUUACCAAGUCUACUACUGUUUAUGAAAAGUGUUUUGAUCUUAUACAUUCUGAUGUUUGGACUGCACCUUGCCUAUCUAGAGAAAACCAUAAGUAUUAUGUAACUUUCAUUGAUGAAAAAUCCAAAUACACCUGGUUAACCUUAAUUCCAACCAAAGAUAGGGUAUUUGAUGCAUUUAAAAACUUUCAAUCCUAUGUGACUAACCAUUACAAUGCCAAGAUAAAGAUUUUCAGGUCAGAUAACGGAGGAGAGUACACGGGACAAGCAUUCAAACUACACCUAUCUCAGCAUGGAAUCCUUCAUCAGACAAGCUGUCCCUAUACCCCACAACAGAAUGGUGUGGCUGAGAGGAAGAACAGGCAUUUGAUGGAAGUAGCCAGGUCCAUGAUGUUUCAAUCCAACGUACCUAAGAAGUUUUGGAGUGAUGCAGUUGCUACGGCUUGUUAUCUCAUCAACAGGACACCAACUCUGAUUCUUCAAGGACAAUCACCAUUUGAGGUACUGAACCAGUACAAGCCCUCUCUAGAGCAUAUGAAGAUCUUUGGAUGUUUGUGUUUUGUGAUGGUGCCUGGAGAGAUUAGAAACAAGCUCGAGGCUAAGAGUUCAAAGGCAAUGUUUAUUGGAUUUUCAUCAAGUCAGAAAGGAUACAAGUGCUAUGAUCCUCACACAAGGAGAGUGUUAGUAUCUAGAGAAGUGAAGUUUGUUGAAGAAAAAGGAUACUAUGAGGAGCAGAUUCAAGAUGAUUUGAAAGAUCUCACUUCUGAUAGAGCUGAAACCUUAAGGAUUAUCCUAGAGGGUCUUGGAAUCAACAUGAAUCAAGGUGGGAGAAGCAAUACUUCAGUACCGGAUCAUCAAACUUCCAAUCUUGAUCAUGAGGGGGGGAAUGAAACAAGAACUCAAACUCAAAACCGUGAAGAGACAAGUAGAGAAGAGAGUUCUGGUUCUCAUGAUCAAGCUGUGGAAUCAAAUGAUCAACAAGAAGAAGCUGAAGAGAGUCAGCUAAGGGAAGAAGGAGCUGAAGCAAGUCAGCUAGGAGAAGAAAGAUCUGAAUCAAGUGUGCUGCCACAAGAAGAAGAACAAGAGAUGGCGCAAGAAGGGCCAGUGUUGAGAAGAAGUACAAGGCUGAGAAAGGAUCCUUCUAGUUGGGUAAACACAAGAGUGUACUACAAUGCCCAAGCUGUGAAGCAUCCUACUCAGGCCGUGUGUUCUUUUGCUCAAUAUCCAGAAACACAUUGUGCAUUCAUGGUAAACUUAGAUGAGAAUCACAUUCCAAGAAGCUAUGAAGAGGCAAUGAAGGAUAAGGAAUGGAAGGAAUCAGUUGGAGCUGAGGCAGGAGCUAUGAUAAAGAAUGAUACAUGGUAUGAGAGUGAACUACCAAAAGGAAAGAAGGCAGUAUCUAGUAGAUGGAUCUUCACAAUCAAAUACAAGGCUGAUGGGCAGAUUGAGAGGAAGAAGACUAGAUUAGUAGCAAGAGGGUUCACUCAAACAUAUGGAGAGGAUUACAUUGAGACAUUUGCACCAGUAUCCAAGUUACACACCAUUAGGAUAGUUCUAAGCUUGGCGGUUAACCUUGGAUGGGGAUUGUGGCAAAUGGAUGUGAAGAAUGCAUUCUUACAAGGAGAACUUGAGGAUGAAGUCUACAUGUAUCCUCCACCAGGUCUUGAGCAUCUAGUGAAGAGAGGGAAUGUACUAAGGCUAAAGAAGGCUAUCUAUGGGUUGAAGCAAUCACCAAGAGCUUGGUACAACAAGUUGAGCACAACUCUGAAUGGCCGAGGCUUUAAGAAGUCAGAAUUGGACCAUACUCUCUUUACCCUCACUACUCCCUCAGGUAUGGUUGCUCUCCUUGUGUAUGUGGAUGAUAUCAUUAUCACAGGGAGUGAUAAGGAAGGUAUCAAAGCAACCAAGGAGUUUCUCAAAUCUAUGUUCGAAAUCAAAGACUUGGGAGAAAUGAAAUACUUUCUUGGAAUUGAGAUUUGUAGAUCCAAGGAAGGCUUAUUCAUGUCCCAAAGAAAGUAUACACUUGAUCUUUUGAAAGGUGCAGGUGCUUAUGGAGGCAAGACAGCAAGGAUGCCUAUGCAGGAUGGCUACAAAGUACCAAGAGAGGGGGAGAUUGAAGACAGCAAGCCAUUUCAUGAUCCUAAACUCUAUAGAAAACUUGUUGGCAAAUUGAUUUAUCUAACCAUCACAAGGCCUGAUAUAUGCUUUGCUGUGAAUCAGGUGAGCCAACACAUGCAGCUUCCCAAGGAACAUCACUGGCGCAUGGUGGAGAGGCUGUUGAUGUAUCUGAAUGGCUCGCCGGAUCAAGGAGUAUGGAUGGGGUGCAAUGGAAGCACAGAAGUGGUGGGCUAUUGUGAUGCUGAUUGGGCAGGAGAUAGAGCUGACAGGAGAUCAACCACAGGCUAUUGCACAUUCAUUGGAGGCAACUUGGUGACUUGGAAGAGCAAGAAGCAGAAGGUGGUGUCAUGUUCAAGUGCAGAAGCUGAGUAUAGAGCUAUGCUGAAGCUCACAAACGAGUUUGUGUGGAUCAAAGGCAUCUUGAAGCACUUGGAGAUUGAUCAAGCCACUCCAAUGACAAUGCAUUGCGACAAUCAAGCUGCCAUUCACAUUGCAUCCAACUCGGUGUUCCAUGAGAGAACCAAGCACAUUGAGGUUGAUUGCCACAAGGUGAGACAGAUGAUUGUGCUUGGAGUGAUCUUACCUUGCUAUACGAGAAGUGAAGAUCAGUUGGCUGAUGUGUUCACCAAGGCGGCAAGACAAAAGACUAUGGAGUCCAUUCACAUUAGAUUGGGACUCAUAGAUCUUGGGAAGAGAAGGAGCUGAUCCCCUUAGCUGUGAGAUCUUUACUCUUUUUCCCUCAUUAAGGUUUUAUCCCAAUGGGUUUUUCUUAGUGAGGUUUUUAAUGAGGAAUAUCUCAUGGCUGUCCAAGCUUAGACUUUCACAAAGCUAAGCUUGAGGGGGAGUGUUAAGAUGAGUUCAGUAUAUGAGAAGAGAUGACUUGAGGAAAUAAGGGAAAUGGAGUUAGGAGAGGAUUGGGCAAGGCCGUACAGAAGCCGUACUAGGCCGUACAGAUUGGGCAAGGUAACUUGACCUCGGUGAACCAAAGUUACUUAGGUAACUUUGUGUGUUGAGAAGAAGCCUUGCAUAACCUUAUCUGAUCAGACUGUUGCAAAAGGAAGAAGGGAGCGCACAUGACAGCCUGUCCGCGGUUGGCAUAAAGCAAAAGGAACCUUAUCCUUAAGGAGGAAGCUUAUUGGAUCAUUUGAAUUAAAGCAAAAGCUUAUCCCUUGUAAUAGUGUAGUUUUCCUAAACCCUAGUCUCUAAUGUCGCCUCUCUAUAUAUUGUAAACUCAUGUCAUUAAUCAAAGUAAGAAAGUUAUGAGUCUCUCUUAGUCUCUUUGUCUCUCAAUGGUUCUAUACUAAGACUCUUAAUCUCAUUUCAUACUCAAAUCUCUUCUAAAUCACUUCUAGUCUUUCUUAUUCACUCAGAUUACUCUACUCAAUCCUAAAAGUGAUAUGGUAUCAGAGCCAGGUUCCUAGAGAACUUGGUUUCGUUGGGUUCUUUGAAGAUUCAAGAUUGAAGCUUUGAAGAAACAGUUUGGUGUUCUUGUGUUCUUAAGCGGUUCUGGGUAGUCUUUCUGAGUUCUAUUGGUUGUUUGAAGCUGCUAGUGUUCGCUCAAGACAGUUACCUCAAGAGAAAGUUAUUGAAGUCU